UUCAAUUGGAGGCCAGCCACGUGAUGACAUCAAAGAUAUUGUUGAAAAGUGUGUCAAUUCAGCAAAGUUGUUGAGAAGCAAUGGAUCAACUCGUUCACCAAAAUGGACUAAGGUUUUGUGUGUUCAACAAGUUGGAAGUACGACAUGUGGAUAUUAUGUGAUGAAAUACAUGCUUGAAAUUCUUUCCAAAGAAGCAUGUGCGGGAAUGGAUA
This is a long non-coding RNA of Ipomoea nil (Japanese morning glory), 212 nucleotides long. RefSeq lists it as uncharacterized. NCBI's taxonomy places the organism in Eukaryota, Viridiplantae, Streptophyta, Magnoliopsida, Solanales, Convolvulaceae. The transcript has 3 exons. The record is from RefSeq and is a predicted model, not a curated record.